AGAGUUUGAUCCUGGCUCAGGAUGAACGCUAGCUACAGGCUUAACACAUGCAAGUCGAGGGGAAACGACAUCGAAAGCUUGCUUUUGAUGGGCGUCGACCGGCGCACGGGUGAGUAACGCGUAUCCAACCUGCCCACCACUUGGGGAUAACCUUGCGAAAGUAAGACUAAUACCCAAUGACGUCUCUAGAAGACAUCUGAAAAGGGAUUAAAGAUUUUAUCGGUGAUGGAUGGGGAUGCGUCUGAUUAGCUUGUUGGCGGGGUAACGGCCCACCAAGGCUACGAUCAGUAGGGGUUCUGAGAGGAAGGUCCCCCANACUUGGAACUGAGACACGGUCCAAACUCCUACGGGAGGCA
Molecule: ribosomal RNA, 356 nt
Filed under: uncultured bacterium
Lineage: Bacteria
Description: bacterial SSU rRNA
Rfam family: Bacterial small subunit ribosomal RNA
Source: RNAcentral